This 571-nucleotide ribosomal RNA is filed under the name Escherichia coli. RNAcentral's name for it is "partial 23S ribosomal RNA". It matches the Rfam family "Bacterial large subunit ribosomal RNA", at positions 474 to 1045 of the family's 2925-position model. The record is from RNAcentral. RNAcentral also lists the same sequence under 1 other name. Lineage: Bacteria; Pseudomonadati; Pseudomonadota; Gammaproteobacteria; Enterobacterales; Enterobacteriaceae.
UCCUGACUGACCGAUAGUGAACCAGUACCGUGAGGGAAAGGCGAAAAGAACCCCGGCGAGGGGAGUGAAAAAGAACCUGAAACCGUGUACGUACAAGCAGUGGGAGCACGCUUAGGCGUGUGACUGCGUACCUUUUGUAUAAUGGGUCAGCGACUUAUAUUCUGUAGCAAGGUUAACCGAAUAGGGGAGCCGAAGGGAAACCGAGUCUUAACUGGGCGUUAAGUUGCAGGGUAUAGACCCGAAACCCGGUGAUCUAGCCAUGGGCAGGUUGAAGGUUGGGUAACACUAACUGGAGGACCGAACCGACUAAUGUUGAAAAAUUAGCGGAUGACUUGUGGCUGGGGGUGAAAGGCCAAUCAAACCGGGAGAUAGCUGGUUCUCCCCGAAAGCUAUUUAGGUAGCGCCUCGUGAAUUCAUCUCCGGGGGUAGAGCACUGUUUCGGCAAGGGGGUCAUCCCGACUUACCAACCCGAUGCAAACUGCGAAUACCGGAGAAUGUUAUCACGGGAGACACACGGCGGGUGCUAACGUCCGUCGUGAAGAGGGAAACAACCCAGACCGCCAGCUAAGGU